RNAcentral lists this ribosomal RNA (497 nucleotides) under uncultured bacterium. Its description in RNAcentral is "partial 16S ribosomal RNA". It matches the Rfam family "Bacterial small subunit ribosomal RNA", at positions 28 to 507 of the family's 1533-position model. The record is from RNAcentral.
GAUGGACGCUGGCGGCGUGCCUAAUACAUGCAAGUCGAGCGAACAGAUGAGGAGCUUGCUCCUCUGACGUUAGCGGCGGACGGGUGAGUAACACGUGGAUAACCUACCUAUAAGACUGGGAUAACUUCGGGAAACCGGAGCUAAUACCGGAUAAUAUAUUGAACCGCAUGGUUCAAUAGUGAAAGACGGUUUUGCUGUCACUUAUAGAUGGAUCCGCGCCGCAUUAGCUAGUUGGUAAGGUAACGGCUUACCAAGGCAACGAUGCGUAGCCGACCUGAGAGGGUGAUCGGCCACACUGGAACUGAGACACGGUCCAGACUCCUACGGGAGGCAGCAGUAGGGAAUCUUCCGCAAUGGGCGAAAGCCUGACGGAGCAACGCCGCGUGAGUGAUGAAGGUCUUCGGAUCGUAAAACUCUGUUAUUAGGGAAGAACAAAUGUGUAAGUAACUAUGCACGUCUUGACGGUACCUAACCAGAAAGCCACGGCUAACUACGUG